CCUACGGGAGGCAGCAGUGGGGAAUAUUGCGCAAUGGGCGAAAGCCUGACGCAGCGACGCCGCGUGAGGGAUGAAGGUCUUCGGAUCGUAAACCUCUGUCAGCAGGGAAGAACGGUCACUGUGCUAAUCAGCAGUGAAUUGACGGUACCUGCAAAGGAAGCACCGGCUAACUCCGUGCCCGCAGCCGCGGUAAUACGGAGGGUGCGAGCGUUAAUCGGAAUUACUGGGCGUAAAGCGCUCGUAGGCGGUAUGUCAAGUCAAGGGUGAAAUCCCCGCGCUCAACGUGGGAGCUGCCUUUGAAACUGGCAAACUGGAGUGUGUGAGAGGAUAGUGGAAUGUCAGGUGUAGGAGUGAAAUCCGUAGAUAUCUGAAGGAACAUCAGUGGCGAAGGCGACUAUCUGGCACAUAACUGACGCUGAGGAGCGAAAGCGUGGGUAGCAAACAGGAUUAGAUACCCUUGUAGUC
Molecule: ribosomal RNA, 465 nt
Filed under: uncultured bacterium
Lineage: Bacteria
Description: partial 16S ribosomal RNA
Rfam family: Bacterial small subunit ribosomal RNA
Source: RNAcentral